UACGUAGGUGGCAAGCGUUGUCCGGAUUUACUGGGCGUAAAGAGCGCGCAGGCGGUCUUGUAAGUCGAAUGUGAAAGCCCCUGGCUCAACUGGGGAGGGUCAUUCGAUACUGCUCGACUCGAAGGCAGGAGAGGGAAGCGGAAUUCCCGGUGUAGUGGUGAAAUGCGUAGAUAUCGGGAGGAACACCAGUGGCGAAGGCGGCUUUCUGGCCUGUUCUUGACGCUGAGGCGCGAAAGCUAGGGGAGCAAACGGG
This 253-nucleotide ribosomal RNA is filed under the name uncultured bacterium. RNAcentral's name for it is "partial 16S ribosomal RNA". It matches the Rfam family "Bacterial small subunit ribosomal RNA", at positions 524 to 776 of the family's 1533-position model. The record is from RNAcentral.